Molecule: ribosomal RNA, 547 nt
Filed under: Debaryomyces nepalensis
Lineage: Eukaryota; Fungi; Ascomycota; Pichiomycetes; Serinales; Debaryomycetaceae
Description: partial 26S ribosomal RNA
Rfam family: Eukaryotic large subunit ribosomal RNA
Source: RNAcentral
AGCGGAGGAAAAGAAACCAACAGGGAUUGCCUUAGUAACGGCGAGUGAAGCGGCAAAAGCUCAAAUUUGAAAUCUGGCGCCUUCGGUGUCCGAGUUGUAAUUUGAAGAAGGUAACUUUGGAGUUGGCUCUUGUCUAUGUUCCUUGGAACAGGACGUCACAGAGGGUGAGAAUCCCGUGCGAUGAGAUGCCCAAUUCUAUGUAAAGUGCUUUCGAAGAGUCGAGUUGUUUGGGAAUGCAGCUCUAAGUGGGUGGUAAAUUCCAUCUAAAGCUAAAUAUUGGCGAGAGACCGAUAGCGAACAAGUACAGUGAUGGAAAGAUGAAAAGAACUUUGAAAAGAGAGUGAAAAAGUACGUGAAAUUGUUGAAAGGGAAGGGCUUGAGAUCAGACUUGGUAUUUUGCGAUCCUUUCCUUCUUGGUUGGGUUCUCCGCAGCUUACUGGGCCAGCAUCGGUUUGGAUGGUAGGAUAAUGAUUAAGGAAUGUGGCUCUACUUCGGUGGAGUGUUAUAGCCUUGGUUGAUACUGCCUGUCUAGACCGAGGACUGCGUC